This 510-nucleotide ribosomal RNA is filed under the name uncultured bacterium. RNAcentral describes it as "bacterial SSU rRNA". It matches the Rfam family "Bacterial small subunit ribosomal RNA", at positions 20 to 518 of the family's 1533-position model. The record is from RNAcentral.
UGGCUCAGGAUGAACGCUAGCUACAGGCUUAACACAUGCAAGUCGAGGGGCAUCAUGAGAUUAGCUUGCUAAUCUUGAUGGCGACCGGCGCACGGGUGAGUAACGCGUAUCCAACCUUCCCUAUACUAGAGGAUAGCCCGGCGAAAGUCGGAUUAAUACUCUAUGUUCUUCGUAGAUGACAUCUGAAAUGAAGCAAAGAUUUAUCGGUAUAGGAUGGGGAUGCGUCUGAUUAGAUAGUAGGCGGGGUAACGGCCCACCUAGUCGACGAUCAGUAGGGGUUCUGAGAGGAAGGUCCCCCACAUUGGAACUGAGACACGGUCCAAACUCCUACGGGAGGCAGCAGUGAGGAAUAUUGGUCAAUGGGCGAGAGCCUGAACCAGCCAAGUAGCGUGCCAGGAUGACGGCCCUAUGGGUUGUAAACUGCUUUUAUACAGGGAUAAAGCGAGGGACGUGUCCCUUUUUGUAGGUACUGUAUGAAUAAGGACCGGCUAAUUCCGUGCCAGCAGCUGC